Molecule: ribosomal RNA, 375 nt
Filed under: uncultured bacterium
Lineage: Bacteria
Description: bacterial SSU rRNA
Rfam family: Bacterial small subunit ribosomal RNA
Source: RNAcentral
UAAUACGUAGGGUGCAAGCGUUAAUCGGAAUUACUGGGCGUAAAGCGUACGCAGGCGGCUUUGCAAGACAGGUGUGAAAUCCCCGGGCCUAACCUGGGAACUGCAUUUGUGACUGCAUGGCUAGAGUUUGUCAGAGGGGGGUGGAAUUCCACGUGUAGCAGUGAAAUGCGUAGAUAUGUGGAGGAACACCGAUGGCGAAGGCAGCCCCCUGGGAUGUGACUGACGCUCAUGUACGAAAGCGUGGGGAGCAAACAGGAUUAGAUACCCUGGUAGUCCACGCCCUAAACGAUGUCUACUAGUUGUCGGGUCUUAAUUGACUUGGUAACGCAGCUAACGCGUGAAGUAGACCGCCUGGGGAGUACGGUCGCAAGAUUA